GUGGGGAAUAUUGCACAAUGGGCGAAAGCCUGAUGCAGCGACGCCGCGUGAGCGAUGAAGUAUUUCGGUACGUAAAGCUCUAUCAGCAGGGAAGAUAAUGACGGUACCUGACUAAGAAGCACCGGCUAAAUACGUGCCAGCAGCCGCGGUAAUACGUAUGGUGCAAGCGUUAUCCGGAUUUACUGGGUGUAAAGGGAGCGUAGGCGGCGUGGUAAGUCAGAAGUGAAAGCCCGGGGCUCAACCCCGGGACUGCUUUUGAAACUAUCAUGCUAGAGUGUCGGAGAGGUAAGUGGAAUUCCUAGUGUAGCGGUGAAAUGCGUAGAUAUUAGGAGGAACACCAGUGGCGAAGGCGGCUUACUGGACGAUAACUGACGCUGAGGCUCGAAAGCGUGGGGAGCAAACAGGAUUAGAAACCCCGGUAGUCC
Molecule: ribosomal RNA, 425 nt
Filed under: uncultured bacterium
Lineage: Bacteria
Description: partial 16S ribosomal RNA
Rfam family: Bacterial small subunit ribosomal RNA
Source: RNAcentral